RNAcentral lists this long non-coding RNA (288 nucleotides) under Mytilus galloprovincialis (Mediterranean mussel). The record is from RNAcentral. Lineage: Eukaryota; Metazoa; Mollusca; Bivalvia; Mytilida; Mytilidae.
GUGGGGUUUAAACCUUUUUCGUUAAUAAUUGAGUUGUCAGACUAAUUGUUCAAUUUCAUUUUACACUUUUUCAAAAAUUGGGCGAGUCGGUAAACAAGAGUGGGGCGAUUUUCUUGUAAAGUGGCGAUAUAGUAUGGGCCGAUUGGCAAGUCGGGCGAGUUGACAUUGUUUGAUAUCUACUCAUCGUGUUCGGGGGUCAUAAAGGGUAUACAUCAUAUAGUAAUAAAUAAAGUAUAUUUUAAUGGUUGUUUGGCGUUCUAAACUAGAUUUUAGGAAUUGUAAAUGGUU